GACGAACGCUGGCGGCGUGCCUAAUACAUGCAAGUCGAGCGGAACUGGGGGAGCUUGCUCCUUCCAGUUUAGCGGCGGACGGGUGAGUAACACGUGGGCAACCUGCCCUGCAGAUCGGGAUAACUCCGGGACACCGGUGCUAAUACCGAAUAGUUUGGCGCCUCUCCUGAGGCGCCACGGAAAGACGGUUUCGGCUUGCACUGCAGGAUGGGCCCGCGGCGCAUUAGCUAGUUGGUGGGGUAACGGCCCACCAAGGCGACGAUGCGUAGCCGACCUGAGAGGGUGACCGGCCACACUGGGACUGAGACACGGCCCAGACUCCUACGGGAGGCAGCAGUAGGGAAUCUUCCGCAAUGGACGCAAGUCUGACGGAGCAACGCCGCGUGAGUGACGAAGGUUUUCGGAUCGUAAAACUCUGUUGUGAGGGAAGAACACGUACCAACUAACUAUUGGUACCUUGACGGUACCUCACCAGAAAGCCACGGCUAACUACGUGCCAGCCGCCGCCGUAA
RNAcentral lists this ribosomal RNA (512 nucleotides) under uncultured bacterium. RNAcentral's name for it is "partial 16S ribosomal RNA". It matches the Rfam family "Bacterial small subunit ribosomal RNA", at positions 28 to 523 of the family's 1533-position model. The record is from RNAcentral.